RNAcentral lists this ribosomal RNA (392 nucleotides) under uncultured bacterium. Its description in RNAcentral is "bacterial SSU rRNA". It matches the Rfam family "Bacterial small subunit ribosomal RNA", at positions 30 to 418 of the family's 1533-position model. The record is from RNAcentral.
AUUGAACGCUGGCGGCAGGCCUAACACAUGCAAGUCGAGCGGUAGCACAGAGAGCUUGCUCUCGGGUGACGAGCGGCGGACGGGUGAGUAAUGUCUGGGAAACUGCCUGAUGGAGGGGGAUAACUACUGGAAACGGUAGCUAAUACCGCAUAACGUCGCAAGACCAAAGUGGGGGACCUUCGGGCCUCAUGCCAUCAGAUGUGCCCAGAUGGGAUUAGCUAGUAGGUGGGGUAAUGGCUCACCUAGGCGACGAUCCCUAGCUGGUCUGAGAGGAUGACCAGCCACACUGGAACUGAGGCACGGUCCAGACUCCUACGGGAGGCAGCAGUGGGGAAUAUUGCACAAUGGGCGCAAGCCUGAUGCAGCCAUGCCGCGUGUGUGAAGAAGGCCUU